GCAGUGAUGAUGUUGUUCGGCGGAUCGCCACUAGCAAUUGUCCAUGCUCUUAGCAGAAGAUCUAACUCUUUCUUUUCCCACCUUGGUGCCAUCUUCGUUUUGAAGUCCAGAGGGGGAGUAGAGGAAAGAGAGAGAGUGAAAGAUGGCGGG
Long non-coding RNA from Octopus sinensis (East Asian common octopus), 150 nucleotides. RefSeq lists it as uncharacterized. The transcript is spliced from 4 exons. NCBI's taxonomy places the organism in Eukaryota, Metazoa, Mollusca, Cephalopoda, Octopoda, Octopodidae. The record is from RefSeq and is a predicted model, not a curated record.